GGGCCCGCACAAGCGGUGGAGCAUGUGGUUUAAUUCGAUGAUACGCGAGGAACCUUACCAGGGCUUAAAUGGGAGAUGACAGGGGCAGAGACGCCCUUUUCUUCGGACAUCUUUCAAGGUGCUGCAUGGUUGUCGUCAGCUCGUGCCGUGAGGUGUCAGGUUAAGUCCUAUAACGAGCGCAACCCCUACCGUUAGUUGCCAGCGAUUCAAGUCGGGGACUCUAACGGGACUGCCGGUGCAAACCGUGAGGAAGGUGGGGACGACGUCAAAUCAUCACGGCCCUUACGUCCUGGGCUACACACGUGCUACAAUGGUCGGUACAGAGGGAAGCUACCCCGUAAGGGGAUGCGGAUCUAUAAAACCGAUCUCAGUUCGGAUCGGGGUCUGCAACUCGACCCCGUGAAGCUGGAAUCGCUAG
Molecule: ribosomal RNA, 418 nt
Filed under: uncultured bacterium
Lineage: Bacteria
Description: bacterial SSU rRNA
Rfam family: Bacterial small subunit ribosomal RNA
Source: RNAcentral